AUUGAACGCUGGCGGCAUGCCUAACACAUGCAAGUCGAGCGGAUGAAGGGAGCUUUCUCCUGGAUUCAGCGUCGGACGGGUGAGUAAUGCCUAUGAAUCUGCCUGGUAGUGGGGGAUAACGUCCGGAAACGGGCGCUAAUACUGCAUACUUCCUGUGGGAGAAAGUGGGUGAUCUUCGGACCUCACGCUAUCAGAUGAUCCUAGGUCGGAUUAGCUAGUUGGUGGGGUAAAGGCCUACCAAGGCGACGAUCGGUAACUGGUCUUAGAGGAUGAUCAGUCAACCUGGAACUGAGACAGGGUCCGGACUCCUACGGGAGGCAGAAGUGGGGAAUAUUGGACAAUGGGCGAAAGCCUGAUCCAGAAAUGCGGCGUGUGUGAAGAAGGUCUCGGGAUUGUAAAGCCCUUUAAGUUGGGAGGAAGGGCAGUAGGUUAAUACCUUGCUGUUUUGACGUUACCAAAAGAAUAAGCACCGGCUAACUUCGUG
RNAcentral lists this ribosomal RNA (484 nucleotides) under uncultured bacterium. Its description in RNAcentral is "partial 16S ribosomal RNA". It matches the Rfam family "Bacterial small subunit ribosomal RNA", at positions 30 to 507 of the family's 1533-position model. The record is from RNAcentral.